Long non-coding RNA from Equus caballus (horse), 3068 nucleotides. NCBI's taxonomy places the organism in Eukaryota, Metazoa, Chordata, Mammalia, Perissodactyla, Equidae. The record is from Ensembl.
GGGACAGCUGUGCCAAAGGAACCAGGCAGAGAACAAGAGAUGGAAUUCUUUUACUGGCUGGCAAAAGUUAACUCUUUGAGGACCUGCCAAGAGAAAGGAGGAACUCAUUAUUUUUCCUCCUUACCCAACCAUAUCCUCAAGCAUUAAGAAGACACUUCAGAUUCAGGAACAGAAAUUAUCUUACAUUUUAGGGUGGUGAAUUUCAGGAAACUGGCAGCUCCUUUGAAUGGUGUUGAUGUCUUCUUCACUCACCCACAAAAUCUGCACAUCUAAUAGAACUCACCAAAUCACCAAGUAGUGUUAUCCAUCCCAUGGGUGCUUUGAAACUCACAAAUUACGUCACUCUGUUCUUUAGAGAGGAAGCUGAAAAUGCACUAUAUCCAUAGAGAUAGCUCCCAAACUCUCUUACCUUGUUUUAUGCUUUAUCACCAUGUCUCAGCAUUUUUCUGCAGAUCCAGUUCUGUUUUCCUUUCCAGCUUGUUGCACCUUUUGCUCUACUGGUUUUCUAGAUUUUCCUUCCUGCUCUCUCUUGGUAGGAUGUAUCCAUAGACUUAAAAUACAGAUCAUUUUCAGGUGGCCUCACAACAAUCUCCAGCCCACCCCUUAUCUGUGCCUUGUCCUUAGUGGGACCCAGACUGGAGUGGGCCAAAAGAAUAGACUGGGACCACUGCCGCUUUAAAUUCUGAGGCUCCAAGAAAAAGUGCUAAGUGUUUCCUGUUCUAUUUUAGCUACAAAGAGAAAUAUCUCCAGCAACAAGGUUGAAACAGCUUUUCUUUUAUGCAACUUCUGCAAAGAAAUGGUGCUUGAACAAUAUUUAUAGCUUUGGAAUCGCCAAGUCCAGCUGGUCUACAAACUGGUUUCUUUGGUUCCCACCUACAUUUUUGUCUUCCUUCCUAACUUCGCAUUUCACUCUGGUAGGAGGCAUGGGUAAAAGGAAGCCUUGAAAUAAAGCAUCAAAGUGAAAGAAAAAGUUAAGAAAAAAGGUCCAAAUAGAAGAGAAUAAAUAACAGAGAAAAGUGUUUUUGAAAUCAAAGUCAUCAUUUUGAAAUAUGUGAAAGGCUAAUUACUGAAAAUAUGUGGACUGAAGAGGAAAAUAUUGAAAGGAAAAAAUCCAAUGUUAAUAAAAACCAUAUUUGUCAUUUGUCAAAACAGGAUGGACGAUCAAGCAUGAUACACAAAUAUUCCAAGAUACAUUUCCUAAAGGAACUACAAUAUUCUAUGGAAACACCUCCACCAAUAUCAGAUGUUCACGGUCAUGGGUCUGAGAGAGAGCCACUAGUAAACUUUCAUAAGUUCAACAAACCACUUAGUAUGGCAUUUAGGGCCCUUUGCAAUCUGAACCUCAAAAUGUCACUCUUGUAUAGGGUAGUACGAUGGUUAAUUUAGUGUGUCAUCUUGGCUGGGCCAUGGUGCCCAGAUAUUUGGUUAACAAUUAUUUUGGAUGUUUCUGUGAUGGUGUUUUUUUGGAUGAGAUUUAACAUUUAAAUUGGUAGACUUUGGUCAAGCAGAUUAUCCUCCACAAUGUGGGUGGGCCUCAUUCAAUCAAUUGAAGGCCUUAAUAGGACAAAGACUGACCUCCCCUGAGCAAGAAGGAAUCCUGCCAGCAGACUGCCUUUGGACUCUAACUGCAACUGGGUCUCCAGUCUGCCAGUCUACUCUACAGAUGUUGGGUUUACCAAGCUUCCACAAUCAGGUUAGCCAACUCCUUAAUAUAGACACACAUCCUGGUGGUUCUGUUUCUCUGGAGAACCCUGCCUGGUCAGAGUUCUCUACAACACUACCUGGUAUUACAGGUAGUAAUAAGAUCAUGGAUUCUACCUGACUCUGCCAUUGACUAACUGUAUAAUAUAUGUUGGGAAAGUUGCUUUACAUCUCUAAGUCUCAGUUUCCUCACCUAAAAAUGGGAAUAACAAUAACUCCCUCAGUUCUCUAGCCAUGCUAGAUUACAUGCCAUGUAAUACAAAUAUCUUUAUUCCCUUGUUUCUGCUACUCCCCUGACUGUCAUAACUGUGUUCCUGUCUGCUUAGCUAAACCUUACGUUUCCUUCCAUCCUGUAGUGGUUUUAAAAAUAUGUUCACAACUUCUUUGAUACUCUUCCCUUCAAGUUGAAUCCCCUGCCCCUUCAGCGUAGGCUGAACUUAGUGAGUCGCUUCUAAUGAACAGAAUAUGGCAGAUGUGACAGUACAUCACUUCCCAGAUUAGGUUACACAAUGACUACACCUUCCAUCUUAGUGUUUCUCUCUCUCUCUCAUCACUUGUUACGGGGGAGCCAGCUGCCUGGUCAUGAGAACCCCCUUGAAGAGGCCCAGCGGCCAGCAACUGAAGCCUCCCGCCUAUAGACACAUGACUGAACUUACAAGCCAACUCCCCAGUCCCUUCACGCCUUCCGCUCCAGCCAACAACUUCACUGCAACCACAUGAGCAAUCCUCAACCAGAACCACCCAGCUAAGGUACUCUCGGUUCCUGAGCCUCAGAAACUGGGUGAGAUUGUAAAUACUUGCUGUUUUACACAGCUAAAUUUUGAGGCAAUUUGUUACACAGCAAAUAAUUAAUGCCACAUUCAAUUCAAGUCUAUAAAAGCUUUCCCUGAUCAACACGCAGAAUUUCUUCUUUCUCUGUUUCCCCAUAGCAUUCUGCAUAUAACUCUUAUAAAACUUUUAAUGUUACAUUAACAGUGUUUGUUUAUGUGUUUGUCCCCCUUGCAAGGCUGGGAGCUGCUGGAGGGUGGGCCAUCUUUAACUGUAUUAAGUGAAAAAAGAAUCAAACUCAAGCCUGGCACAUAAUGGACUCUGACAAUAGUUAAGUUAACAAUUAAUGUUUCCUAUGUGUCAUACAUUGUUUUAAGCCUUUUGCAAAUAUUAUCCCAUUUAAUCCUCACAAACACCUAGGAGAUAUAGUAUUAUUACCCCUAUUUUACAAAUGAUGAAACUGAGGUCAAGUUAUAGAGAAGCUGAUUAACUUGCUCACAGUCACACAGUUAGUAAAUGUUGCUGAAUCAAAGAAUGAAUGAAUGAAAGAAUGUUUCUUACAAACAGGACCAUAUACGACUCACAUAAGAGUCUCUUAC